CCUAUUCUCAAACUUUAA
This 18-nucleotide small nuclear RNA is filed under the name Arabidopsis thaliana (thale cress). RNAcentral's name for it is "snRNA_08459". The record is from RNAcentral. Lineage: Eukaryota; Viridiplantae; Streptophyta; Magnoliopsida; Brassicales; Brassicaceae.